CUGGGUUCAGAACGUCGUGAGACAGUUCGGUCCCUAUCCGUCGCAGGCGUAGGAAAUUUGAGAAGACCUGUCCUUAGUACGAGAGGACCGGGAUGGACGUACCUCUGGUGUACCAGUUGUCCUGCCAAGGGCAUGGCUGGGUAGCUAUGUACGGAAUGGAUAAGCGCUGAAAGCAUCUAAGCGCGAAGCCAACUUCAAGAUAAGAUUUCCCACCGCAAGGGUAAGACCCCAGAAAGACUAUCUGGUUGAUAGGUCGAAGGUGUAAGUGCAGUAAUGUAUUUAGCUUAUCGAUACUAAUAGGUCGAGGACUUGACCAAU
This 318-nucleotide ribosomal RNA is filed under the name Clostridioides difficile. RNAcentral's name for it is "partial 23S ribosomal RNA". It matches the Rfam family "Bacterial large subunit ribosomal RNA", at positions 2605 to 2925 of the family's 2925-position model. Lineage: Bacteria; Bacillati; Bacillota; Clostridia; Peptostreptococcales; Peptostreptococcaceae. The record is from RNAcentral.